This is a long non-coding RNA of Delphinapterus leucas (beluga whale), 3804 nucleotides long. The record is from Ensembl. NCBI's taxonomy places the organism in Eukaryota, Metazoa, Chordata, Mammalia, Artiodactyla, Monodontidae.
UUUUCCAUUAUAGGUUAUUAUCAAUACAAGAUAUUGAAUAGAGUUCCCUGUGCUCUACAGUAGGUCCUUGUUGUUCAUCUAUAUUAUAUACAGUAGUUUGUACCGGUUAAUCCCAAACUCCUAAUUUACCCCUCCCCCUACCUUUCCCCACCAUCACACUUUAAUUAAACACUGAAUGUGUAUGAGUAGCGCUCAGCCUACACCUGACAGCUGACGUCUUCCAGGGGCCUUUGCAGGGGUGAAGUGUGGCAUAAUACAGAAGAAACACUUGGUUACAAAAGCUCUGUGUUUUAUAUUAGCGUCUGUGAGCCUGGAGACUUCUGGAAAUGUGAGCUCGCUGUAAGGAGUUUCCAGCAGUCGCCGUGGCGGCUUUUUAAUGACUCCAGUUGGCUUGGCUGGACUAGUUCCCCAGGACUCCCUUCCCAGUCUGUUUUGGGUCCGAGUGGGCACAGGAGACAUUUUGCAGGAGAUCUGAGGGGACAGCUGUGUCAUUUUCAUUCUUGAAGGCUGGGCGUGUGCCUUUGUAGCUCACACGCUGUCACUCAUCUGCCGACCCAUGUCCUGGGCGUGGGCAGCAGGUGGGCCAUCCCUGGGGUCCUCACCCUCUCUGGUCCCUGGGCCACACGAGGGUUUGGUGCCACCACAGAGGGCUUCUCCUGCAGGACGAGCCCGUCACUGGGCGGCGGUGGGGUGGGGGGAGGAGGCGGUGAGAACUGACAGGGCCUUCAUCCUUCUGCCCUGGGGAUGCAGCUCAUCCAUGACCCCUGCCAGCUCGCUUGCCAGCCUCCGCCCUGGGGAGGGUCACAGCCCCGCAGAGACGGUCACCAGCCCCCGCAGCUGCACAGGGCCAGCCCCUGUGGUGGAUUUUUCAUCACGCAGGCCUCUGGUCAAACCGUGCUUGAUGCCAUCUCCUUGCAGUACCCAAUAAAACAGCGGGAGGAGAGGAUGGUUGGAGAUUAUGUGAGUGUGCUGUCUCCAGCCUCACUGAGUUUGGGGAUCUGAGAGAGGAGAGACCUCAGUGAAGUUCAAGGAGAUAGCACAUCUUGUAGGUGAAUGUGCUAACAGACAAUGGCCAGACCAUAUACAGAAGUAGAACUCGGACCCACAGUCUGCAGAACCAGCCCAGGAAACCAACCUGCCAUCCACAAGCAGACUUGGAGGAAGUCAGACCGCCAGCUCUAGCAACUGGUCCAGGAAGACAAACAAUAACCCCUAUAACAAUCGCUCCCCAACACUGGACCUGAUGAAUAACUGGCAGCUUCCCUAACCUUUGUCCCUGCUUACAACUUAGGACCAAUCAGAGAGAGCUAAGUUCCAAUCACAUAGGAUGUUCCACUUCUAUUAGAGUGUUCUCCAGGCCAACAGUUUCCAACCAGGGCACACCUGAAGCCUUCUCUUUUCCCACUGUCAAGCUAUCCCAUCUGUCUGCCUUUGAAUCUCUGCCCAAACACAAGUGAUGGGGGCUGCCUCCUGCUCUAGCUGGCUCCGAAUACAUAGCCUUUGCUUGUUCCCAUUUGGCUGGUCUUUGUUUAUUUUCACAUCAAGAAGUCUUCGGGGCCUGCACAGGUAGUGGCCUUAAGAUCAGAGGGUGAUAUGGUCUGCUUAUGCUGAAGAGGACCUGAGACAUCUCCCCAAGUUUCCUGUGGCUUUGCACUAGCCCAGAAGGUAGGGUUGCCAGAUAAAAGGCAGGAUUCCCGGGUACACUUGAAUUUCAAAAAAAAAAAGAAAGAAAAAAAGCAAUGAAAAUUUUUAGCGUAAAUAUAUCCUAAGCAGUAUUUGGGGCAUACUUAUGCUAAAAAAGUAUUCUUUGUUUAUCUGAAGUUCAAAUAUAACUGGGUGUCCUGUAUUUUUAUCUGCUAAAUCUGGUCACCCUACAGGACAGCAACGAAAAGUUCUCAUGCCUCACUCCCACAGGUUGCAAAAAAAGUUAAGAAAGAGAAGGAGAGAGAGCCCUGGUGGGGCUUUAAGAAGUUUCAGAGCUAAUAGGAAGGGGAACAUAUUGGAGGCAACAUGGGAAACCCUCCCAGGAUUGAACGAGGAUUCAGCGGCAUCUCAUGGGAUUUCCAGGCUGGAGGAGGGAUGGCAAGAACUAGAAGAGAAAUGAUUAUUCUGGUGCAGGAGUAUGAGAUCAAGACAUAUGUAGGCCUAGAAGUGUAUGCCUGCUUCUCACCAACACUGCAGCUGCAUUUCUCUAAGCACAGCUUCCCUGACGCCCCCCUCAAGCUUCCCAUCAACCCCAGGAAGAAGGAAGGGGUUUGGGGGAACUAGCCUGAAUAUGACUGUUAUCAACCUGAAAUGACAUUUUAGGAUUUCUAGGGAAGUGUGCUGACAUUGCCAAAUUUAACUGGUUUACCCGGAAAGGACGAGAUUAAUUUUCUGCAGUUAGUAUGGAGCCUCAAUAUUAAAAAGCAAAUCCAGUGAUCAGAAAGUUUUAAGGAAUUAACAUUUUGCACACAUGAGCUCACUGUCUGUGAGGCUUUCAAAAAUUAAUAGUCACCAUAUAUAUGGGCUUCAGGUCUUUUUCAGCACCGAUUGGAGACAUGGGACACCUUUUGAAAAAUAAAAUCUCCCCAUCCCAUCCCCGGACCCUCACUCUCCCACCUGGCAAUUUGCCUGGGGAGCCAUUUUCUUCAGAGAGAAAUGUUGAAUCUCACUCUAUCUGGUCUGUAUUAGGAAAACAGUAGUUUUAUUUUUCAUCUUCGAAAUAUUCAAUAACAUUAUUUGAUUGAAUAUACUUUUCAACCUUCAUAUUCAUCCCCCGUUCCUUUAAUACAGUUUUUUUUGCGGUACGCGGGCCUCUCACCGUUGUGGCCUCUCCCGUUGCGGAGCACAGGCUCCGGACGCGCAGGCUCAGCGGCCAUGGCUCACGGGCGCAGCCGCUCCGCGGCAUGUAGGAUCCUCCCGGACCGGGGCACGAACCCGCGUCCCCUGCAUCGGCAGGCGGACUCUCAACCACCGCGUCACCAGGGAAGCCCCCUUCCCCGAUUCCUUUAAUGUUGACAAAACCUGCCUGGACUCCCCACGCUUAGACUCGCUGACUUGAAGGUUUCUUUGUUUUCCUGAUUCUUCCUGCACAGCAAAUUGAUGAUGAAGGCGAUAAUGGCCAUGGUGACAACAGAGCCGCCCCUUGCGGAGGGGCUGCUGGAUCGCACUUACUUCCUGCGUGGCUGAUCUGGGUAACAGCCCUGGAUGCUAAAUAUUACCAUCUCCAUUUUACAAAUGAGAGAAGGGAGGCUCAGAGAGGUUCAGAGACUUGCUCGGGGUGACACAGAGACUUGUUCAGGUGGUGGAAUGGGAUUUAAACUCGGAAUUUUCUAAAACCCUAAUCCAAUAAGAUACAUGCACCCCUAUGUUCGUAGCAGCACUGUUUCACAAUAGCCAAGACAUGGAAGUAACCUAAAUGCCCAUCAACACAUGAAUGGAUGAAGAAGAUGUGGUACAUAUACACAAUGGAUUACUACUCAUCCAUAAUAAAGAAAGAAGUGAUGCCAUUUGCAGCAACAUGGAUGCAACUAGACAUUGUCAUACUAAAGGAAGUAAGUCAGAAAGAGAAAGACAAAUACCAUAUGAUAUCACUUACAUGUGGAAUCUAAAAUAGGACACGAAUGAACCUAUCUAUGAAACAGAAACAGACUCAUGGACAUAGAGAACAGACUGGUGGUUGCCAUGGGGGAGGGAUGGAAUGGGAGGCUGGGGUUAGCAGAUGUAAGCUUUUAUGUAUAGGAUGGAUAGGCAACAAGGUCCAACUGUAUAGCCCAGGGAACUAUAUUCGGUGUGCUAUGAUAAACCAUAAUGGAAAGGAAU